RNAcentral lists this ribosomal RNA (465 nucleotides) under Vreelandella stevensii. Its description in RNAcentral is "partial 16S ribosomal RNA". It matches the Rfam family "Bacterial small subunit ribosomal RNA", at positions 338 to 795 of the family's 1533-position model. Lineage: Bacteria; Pseudomonadati; Pseudomonadota; Gammaproteobacteria; Oceanospirillales; Halomonadaceae. The record is from RNAcentral.
CCUACGGGGGGCUGCAGUGGGGAAUAUUGGACAAUGGGGGGAACCCUGAUCCAGCCAUGCCGCGUGUGUGAAGAAGGCCCACGGGUUGUAAAGCACUUUCAGUGAGGAAGAACGCCUGGUGGUUAAUACCCAUCAGGAAAGACAUCACUCACAGAAGAAGCACCGGCUAACUCCGUGCCAGCAGCCGCGGUAAUACGGAGGGUGCGAGCGUUAAUCGGAAUUACUGGGCGUAAAGCGCGCGUAGGUGGCUUGAUAAGCCGGUUGUGAAAGCCCCGGGCUCAACCUGGGAACGGCAUCAGGAACUGUCAAGCUAGAGUGCAGGAGAGGAAGGUAGAAUUCCCGGUGUAGCGGUGAAAUGCGUAGAGAUCGGGAGGAAUACCAGUGGCGAAGGCGGCCUUCUGGACUGACACUGACACUGAGGUGCGAAAGCGUGGGUAGCAAACAGGAUUAGAUACCCUGGUAGUC